AAGUCGUAACAAGGUCUCCGUAGGUGAACCUGCGGAGGGAUCAUUACACAACAAAAUAUGAAGGCCCUGGCUUCGCGGCCGGCUGAAAUAUUUUUUCACCCAUGUCUUUUGCGCACUUGUUGUUUCCUGGGCGGGUUUGCCCGCCACCAGGACCAAACCAUAAACCUUUUUUUUUAUGCAGUUACCAUCAGCGUCAGUAAAAACAAUGUAAUUAAUUACAACUUUCAACAACGGAUCUCUUGGUUCUG
RNAcentral lists this unclassified non-coding RNA (248 nucleotides) under Bipolaris microstegii. RNAcentral's name for it is "partial internal transcribed spacer region". The stretch from base 1 to 46 matches the Rfam family "Eukaryotic small subunit ribosomal RNA", at positions 1786 to 1831 of the family's 1831-position model. Lineage: Eukaryota; Fungi; Ascomycota; Dothideomycetes; Pleosporales; Pleosporaceae. The record is from RNAcentral. RNAcentral also lists the same sequence under 2 other names.